RNAcentral lists this ribosomal RNA (253 nucleotides) under uncultured bacterium. RNAcentral's name for it is "partial 16S ribosomal RNA". It matches the Rfam family "Bacterial small subunit ribosomal RNA", at positions 524 to 776 of the family's 1533-position model. The record is from RNAcentral.
UACGUAGGGGGCAAGCGUUGUCCGGAAUUAUUGGGCGUAAAGAGCGUGUAGGCGGCCAGAUAAGUCCGCUGUGAAAUCUCGAGGCUCAACUUCGAGCUGUCGGUGGAAACUAUCUAGCUAGAGUCCGGAGGAGGAGAAUGGAAUUCCUGGUGUAGCGGUGAAAUGCGCAGAUAUCAGGAAGAACACCCGUGGCGAAGGCGGUUCUCUGGGACGGUACUGACGCUGAGACGCGAAAGCGUGGGGAGCGAACAGG